Molecule: non-coding RNA, 36 nt
Filed under: unclassified sequences
Description: DUF805b RNA
Rfam family: DUF805b RNA
About the family: Bacteroidetes, Chlorobi (1 example), Proteobacteria. Lineage (Flavobacteria)
Source: RNAcentral
ACGGAGGAAGUCGAAAAUCCAUAAAGAGAGUAGGUA